CAGGGUUUGGAAAUUAUAAUGAGAUGUUUACUAUUGUGGAUGAAGUUCUGGCUGCUGCCCAUCAGGUGUGAAGAAGGAGAAGAAGAAAGAAGCAAGGAAACGAGUUGUAGUGCAAAGAUCCAAGGGCAAAUCUGAGUUUAUUGAGCCGAGGAGAUUCAGGAGCAGCAGCCGGUAGCUUUCAGAGACACACACUCAGCCGCCAGUUUACGAGGUACUUCCGCAAGCAAAGGGAAGAGCUCGGGAUGAUGGCAUCGCACACACCACCGCCUCAGCUUUAGCCUGGGAUUGAUUUAGUUGUUUUGAUUUGAUGUAGUAUGAUACAGUUUUCCGUACAGUAUUUCAUUAUGUUUUGGAAUACAUCACGCAUGGUUUUAUUAUAUGAUGCUCUGAUUACAGUUUUGAUUAUAUUAAAACAAAAAUUUAUGGGUCGUAUUUUUGGGUCGUUUCAAAAAAUCAUGUGUAUAUAUUUUUGAAGGCCAUGAAAGCUAUUGUCUGCUUUAUUCUACAACUAAAAUACACUUAGCAUCUCAUUUUAUAUUUUCCCCAGUCAUGCAGUUAUUCAGACAUGGAGCUACAGCCACUACAGCUGAAAAUAGGGUCAAUUUAGGUAUUUUUUAUUUAUUUAUUUACUUUCUGGGAAUUUGAUUAAUUUGAAAAUGUUUUUUGAAAAAAUUAUAUUUUGUUUCAGUUCUGUGUUUAAAGAGAUAUGAAAACACAGGGAAGGAAUUUACAAGUACCUGGUAUGGUGAAUGUCAACGGGAGAGCAGGCAAAAGCUUGAUCAGGUUGUGGCCACUUUAUGCCAGAACUCUCAAACUUACUUAUGAAGAGCAGAAGCUUUUGAUAGAGGUAUAACUAACUUCAAAAUUAUUGUUAAAAUUUCAUUUUAGGUCCUUCAAUUUAGAUGAUUUUUGCCAACUUUGGUCCUAAACCGUCUGUUCAAUGCUUGGUCCUUGAGA
Non-coding RNA from Lactuca sativa (garden lettuce), 957 nucleotides. The record is from RefSeq and is a predicted model, not a curated record. Lineage: Eukaryota; Viridiplantae; Streptophyta; Magnoliopsida; Asterales; Asteraceae.